This 697-nucleotide unclassified non-coding RNA is filed under the name Hevea brasiliensis (rubber tree). The record is from RNAcentral. Lineage: Eukaryota; Viridiplantae; Streptophyta; Magnoliopsida; Malpighiales; Euphorbiaceae.
UUUUUUAUUUUUAUUUUUUUUAAUUUUUAAAUAUCAGAUCAGUUUUGUAACUGGGAAAUUGAUUAUAAUAGGUAAGGAGGGCUUUUAUAUUCACUAAAUGCAAGGAUGAUGAUGAAAGUUAACCUUAAAGUGUGUGAUCAUUAGUAUCUCUGCUAGCAGUGUGUAGUGCACUUCUAAUAUUUUUCAGGGAGUGGAACACCUUUGGCCAUGUGAGAUGUAUCCUGUUUAAUAAUGUAGUUAGUCAUGAACGCAUCUAUCUUUUAUGUUGACGCCUGUAAUUGUUUAUUUCAUUUUCUUGAUCCUUACUAUUGAUUUUAUCCAGUUUGUUCAAUCUGAGAUGCUUCUCGCAAUUAUCUACUCUGGAAGUUCAUGUUCCAAGUGAAAUAAGAAAGAGAGAUUCCUGUGUAUUAAGUGUAUCUGUUUGAUCUAUACUCAAUGUGCUUUACCAUGUAUCCCUUACAAAUACUUGUGUGUUUUUCUCAUUGGUGAUAGUAGUGCAGCCUUUCAAUUGCAUUAGUUCAUUUGUUUGCUGAGUUUAUUUCAUUUUCUUAUGAUAUUAGUCAUGUUGUUUGCAGUUGUACUAUCAAUUUCAUUUAACUAAAACAUAGGACUUUUACCUGCAUCACUCAUGUCACAGGUUGUAAUGGUACAACACUUUUUUCUUCUCUGAACAGGUAUGCAGCUGCUCCCCAGGAAC